RNAcentral lists this ribosomal RNA (446 nucleotides) under uncultured bacterium. RNAcentral's name for it is "bacterial SSU rRNA". It matches the Rfam family "Bacterial small subunit ribosomal RNA", at positions 355 to 825 of the family's 1533-position model. The record is from RNAcentral.
CAACGAAUAUUCCGCAAUGGACGCAAGUCUGACGGAGCGACGCCGCGUGCAGGAAGAAGUCCUUCGGGAUGUAAACUGCUGUCAGGGGUGAGGAAAACUGACCAACCCCAGAGGAAGCACCGGCUAACUCCGUGCCAGCAGCCGCGGUAAUACGGAGGGUGCGAGCGUUGUUCGGAAUUAUUGGGCGUAAAGGGUAGGUAGGUGGUCUCGUUUGUCUGAGGUGAAAGCCCUGGGCUUAACUCAGGAAGUGCCUCAGAAACGGCGAGACUGGAGUCCUGGAGAGGGUCGUGGAAUUCCCGGUGUAGCGGUGAAAUGCGUAGAGAUCGGGAGGAACACCAGAGGCGAAGGCGGCGACCUGGACAGGUACUGACACUAAACUACGAAAGCGUGGGGAGCAAACAGGAUUAGAUACCCCCGUAGUCCCUGAGCGGGCUGGCAAGGCGCAU